AACGAACGCUGGCGGCGUGCCUAACACAUGCAAGUCGUGCGAGAAAGUUCCUUCGGGAGCGAGUAAAGCGGCGCACGGGUGAGUAACACGUAGGUAACCUGCCCCCCAGUCUGGAACAACUAGAGGAAACUCUAGCUAAUGCCGGAUGAGACCACGAUCCCUUCGGGGGUUGCGGCCAAAGAUGGCCUCUACUUGUAAGCUAUCGCUGAGGGAUGGGCCUGCGGGCCAUUAGCUUGUUGGUGAGGUAACGGCUCACCAAGGCUGUGAUGGCUAGCUGGUCUGAGAGGAUGACCAGCCACACUGGGACUGAGACACGGCCCAGACUCCUACGGGAGGCAGCAGUGGGGAAUUUUGGACAAUGGGCGCAAGCCUGAUCCAGCCAUGCCGCGUGAGUGAAGAAGGCCUUCGGGUUGUAAAGCUCUUUCGGUUGAAGACGAAACGGUUAGACGUAUAACGACUGACUAAUAGACGGUACUCACAGAAGAAGCACCGGCUAACUACGUG
Molecule: ribosomal RNA, 504 nt
Filed under: uncultured bacterium
Lineage: Bacteria
Description: bacterial SSU rRNA
Rfam family: Bacterial small subunit ribosomal RNA
Source: RNAcentral